This 492-nucleotide ribosomal RNA is filed under the name uncultured bacterium. RNAcentral's name for it is "partial 16S ribosomal RNA". It matches the Rfam family "Bacterial small subunit ribosomal RNA", at positions 29 to 507 of the family's 1533-position model. The record is from RNAcentral.
AGUGAACGCUGGCGGUAGGCCUAACACAUGCAAGUCGAACGGCAGCACAGUAAGAGCUUGCUCUUACGGGUGGCGAGUGGCGGACGGGUGAGGAAUACAUCGGAAUCUACUUUUUCGUGGGGGAUAACGUAGGGAAACUUACGCUAAUACCGCAUACGACCUACGGGUGAAAGCAGGGGAUCUUCGGACCUUGCGCGAUUGAAUGAGCCGAUGUCGGAUUAGCUAGUUGGCGGGGUAAAGGCCCACCAAGGCGACGAUCCGUAGCUGGUCUGAGACGAUGAUCAGCCACACUGGAACUGAGACACGGUCCAGACUCCUACGGGAGGCAGCAGUGGGGAAUAUUGGACAAUGGGCGCAAGCCUGAUCCAGCCAUACCGCGUGGGUGAAGAAGGCCUUCGGGUUGUAAAGCCCUUUUGUUGGGAAAGAAAAGCAGCAGGUUAAUACCCCGCUGUUCUGACGGUACCCAAAGAAUAAGCACCGGCUAACUUCGUG